Molecule: ribosomal RNA, 783 nt
Filed under: uncultured bacterium
Lineage: Bacteria
Description: bacterial SSU rRNA
Rfam family: Bacterial small subunit ribosomal RNA
Source: RNAcentral
AGAGUUUGAUCAUGGCUCAGAGCGAACGCUGGCGGCAGGCCUAACACAUGCAAGUCGAGCGCCGUAGCAAUACGGAGCGGCAGACGGGAGAGUAACACGUGGGAACGUACCCUUUGGUUCGGAACAACCCAGGGAAACUUGGGCUAAUACCGCAUGUGCUCUACGGAGGAAAGUGGGGGACCCGCAAGGGCCUCACGCCAUGGGAGCGGCCGAUGUCCGAUUAGCUUGUUGGCGGGGUAAAGGCCCACCAAGGCGACGAUCGGUAGCUGGUCUGAGAGGAUGAUCAGCCACACUGGGACUGAGACACGGCCCAGACUCCUACGGGAGGCAGCAGUGGGGAAUUUUGGACAAUGGGGGCAACCCUGAUCCAGCCAUGCCGCGUGAGUGAAGAAGGCCUUCGGGUUGUAAAGCUCUUUUGGUCGGAAAGAAGGGGUUCGGGUGAAUACCCCGGAUCUCUGACGGUACCGGCAGAAUAAGCACCGGCUAACUACGUGCCAGCAGCCGCGGUAAUACGUAGGGUGCGAGCGUUAAUCGGAAUUACUGGGCGUAAAGAGUGCGUAGGCGGUUCUUUGUGUCCGCUGUGAAAGCCCCGGGCUUAACCUGGGAAUGGCAGUGGAAACUAGAGAACUCGAAUCUGGCAGAGGGGGGUGGAAUGCCACGUGUAGCAGUGAAAUGCGUAGAGAUGUGGCGGAACACCGAUGGCGAAGGCAGCCCCCUGGGCUGAGAUUGACGCUCAGGCACGAAAGCGUGGGGAGCAAACAGGAUUAGAUACCCUAGUAGUCC